GACCAUAUCACAUUGAAACACUAAUUCUUGUAUGAUCACUGAAGUUAAACAACAUUGAGUCUGGUCAGUACCUAAAUGGGUAAUCACUUGGGAAUACCAGGUGCUGUAAG
Acanthosepion pharaonis is the source of this 110-nucleotide non-coding RNA. The record is from the annotation of a GenBank genome assembly. NCBI's taxonomy places the organism in Eukaryota, Metazoa, Mollusca, Cephalopoda, Sepiida, Sepiidae.